RNAcentral lists this microRNA precursor (55 nucleotides) under Xenoturbella bocki. RNAcentral describes it as "Xbo-Mir-252-P2_pre stem-loop". The record is from RNAcentral. Lineage: Eukaryota; Metazoa; Xenacoelomorpha; Xenoturbellidae.
CUAAGUACUAGAGCCGUAGGUGGUCAUAAGUCACCUACUACGCUAGUGCUUAAAA